GUGUCAGCCGCCGCGGUAAUACAGAGGUCCCAAGCGUUGUUCGGAUUCACUGGGCGUAAAGGGUGCGUAGGCGGUUUGACAAGUCUGAUGUGAAAUCCCGCAGCUUAACUGCGGAACUGCAUUGGAAACUGUUUGACUAGAGGAAUGGAGGGGAGACUGGAAUACUUGGUGUAGCAGUGAAAUGCGUAGAUAUCAAGUGGAACACCAGUGGCGAAGGCGAGUCUCUGGACAUUUCCUGACGCUGAGGCACGAAAGCCAGGGGAGCAAACGGGAUUAGAUACCCCCGUAGUCC
RNAcentral lists this ribosomal RNA (292 nucleotides) under uncultured bacterium. RNAcentral's name for it is "partial 16S ribosomal RNA". It matches the Rfam family "Bacterial small subunit ribosomal RNA", at positions 505 to 796 of the family's 1533-position model. The record is from RNAcentral.